Molecule: small nucleolar RNA, 138 nt
Filed under: Ornithorhynchus anatinus (platypus)
Lineage: Eukaryota; Metazoa; Chordata; Mammalia; Monotremata; Ornithorhynchidae
Source: RNAcentral
CCCCACCCCGGGUCGCACCUGGAGAGUUUCCAAUAUGCUACCAGUCUCGACUACAGGAGGGAGAGUCAAGCAGAGGCAUUCCCAUUCCAUUCCUAGCUUGGCCAGUGGCUAGCGAGUGGAAGGCAAUCUGCUACAGGU